CCCACUCAGCACACAGCAUAGACAUGAAGACCUCCAUUCACUAUCUGGGGCUCCUGCUACUCUGGCUGGAUGGUGCCAAAUGCGAUAUCCAGGUGACCCAGUCUCCAUCCUCACUCUCUGGAAAUUUAGGAGAAAGUGUUACCAUCAUUUGUCAGGCAAGUCAGGAUAUUAGCACGUACUUAGCUUGGCAUCAACAGAAACCAGGGAAAGCUCCUCAGUCUCUGAUCUACGGUGCAUCCUAUUUACAAAAUGGUGUCCCAACAAGAUUCCGUGGAAGUGGAUCUGGUACACAGCUUUCUCUCACAAUCAGCAGCCUACAGUCUGAAGAUAUCGGAACUUAUUAUUGUCUACAGUAUGAUAAGCUUCCUCCCACAGUGAUAUAA
Molecule: non-coding RNA, 383 nt
Organism: Nannospalax galili (Upper Galilee mountains blind mole rat)
Lineage: Eukaryota; Metazoa; Chordata; Mammalia; Rodentia; Spalacidae
Source: the annotation of a RefSeq genome assembly